This 419-nucleotide ribosomal RNA is filed under the name bacterium. RNAcentral describes it as "partial 16S ribosomal RNA". It matches the Rfam family "Bacterial small subunit ribosomal RNA", at positions 355 to 776 of the family's 1533-position model. The record is from RNAcentral.
UGGGGGAUAUUGCACAAUGGGCGAAAGCCUGAUGCAGCGACGCCGCGUGGGGGAUGAAGGCCUUCGGGUUGUAAACUUCUUUUGCUCUGAACAAGGCAUGCUAAUGGGUGUGUUGAGUGUAGGGGUUGAUUAGCGCCGGCUAACUACGUGCCAGCAGCCGCGGUAAUACGUAGGGCGCGAGCGUUGUCCGGAAUUAUUGGGCGUAAAGGGCUUGUAGGUGGCUGGUUGCGUCUGUCGUGAAAGCUCAUGGCUUAACUGUGGGUUUGCGGUGGGUACGGGCUGGCUUGAGUGCAGUAGGGGAGGCUGGAAUUCCUGGUUUAGCGGUGGAAUGCGCAGAUAUCAGGAGGAAUACCGGUGGCGAAGGCGGGUCUCUGGGCUGUUACUGACACUGAGGAGCGAAAGCAUGGGGAGCGAACAGG